This 209-nucleotide long non-coding RNA is filed under the name Elaeis guineensis (African oil palm). RNAcentral describes it as "long non-coding RNA (EGUI_LNC066488)". The record is from RNAcentral. Lineage: Eukaryota; Viridiplantae; Streptophyta; Magnoliopsida; Arecales; Arecaceae.
GCUGUGGAAAUUAUCAAGCUUGUAUUCGAGUCUCAUUUUAUUGUUCUUAAUGAAUGUCAUUACUAUCCCAAUUUUUUUUUUAAAUAUUAUUUUUGUAGGCCUUUUAGCCAAAUCAAAUUAUGAAAUAUCAAUAAAAAAAAGUUUUUAUAAUAUCAUUUUGAAUGGUGCUGCUAUAAUGCAAGGACAGUUGAACAAUAAUAUCUAUAUUG